CCUUUGUUUAGUCACACCGCAAUGGUCCUCACACCUGUGCAGCCAACCCAGUAUUAAGACAGUUCAUUUCGCCUAACCUAGAACUAAGAACUGAAACUCAUUGUACUUUUCUGUUUGUAUGUUUGGAAGGUAGCCUUCGGGAACCUGUGUUGAUAUCAAGGGAGUGAGGAACCCUGAGUACUUUCUCUGGAGCAAAGAGGAUUCAGAAUGAGAAGUGUGUAUGAAUACAGCGCUGGUGAAAUUGCUGGAUUGAAAAAACCCUGGAGAUCCAAGCCUCGGUACAACACAGGCGUCGGCCGUGCAAGCGUCUCCCACUGUUGGACUUCACUCCCCUAUGGGUUCAUCUUUGGCCUUUCUGCUCUGACUGUUGACAGUGGACCUAGUGGCUGCAGUGGCAUUGGCUUGCUGGGAAAACACAGAACUCUGAACGUUACAGCUGUGCACAGAGCAGAUCUUGAUCAUCUUGGACUAUAAUCUCCAUGGCGUGAAAAUCUGAAGAUAUUCCGGAGUAAAAGAUUGGUUUAUUUAAAGUGACUAUUGUAUCAAAAUGGUUGGAAAACUCAAACAAAACUUGUUAUUGGCAUGUCUGGUGAUCAGCUCAGUGACAGUGUUUUAUUUGGGGCAACAUGCUAUGGAAUGUCACCACAGAAUAGAAGAACGCAGCCAGCCAGUGAGGAUGGAAAGUGGGAGAACCACAAUAAGAACUGUCUUUAACUUAAAAGCAAAUAAAACCUUUGCUUACAAUAAAGACAUGCCUUUAAUAUUUAUUGGAGGGGUGCCUCGAAGUGGCACUACACUAAUGCGUGCCAUGCUAGAUGCUCACCCCGAUAUCCGUUGUGGAGAAGAGACUAGGGUUAUCCCUCGAAUUCUGGCAGUUAAGCAGAUGUGGGCCAGAUCAAGUAAAGAGAAAAUCAGACUGGAUGAAGCUGGGGUGACAGAUGAAGUUCUGGACUCAGCCAUGCAAGCCUUUUUAUUGGAAAUCAUUGUUAAACACGGGGAACCUGCUCCCUAUUUGUGUAAUAAAGAUCCUUUUGCUCUGAAGUCCUUAACUUAUCUUGCCAGAAUUUUCCCCAAUGCCAAAUUUCUUUUAAUGGUACGGGAUGGUCGUGCAUCGGUGCAUUCCAUGAUAUCUAGAAAAGUCACCAUAGCUGGGUUUGACCUUAACAGCUACAGGGACUGUUUGACCAAGUGGAAUCGUGCUAUAGAGACUAUGUAUAACCAGUGUAUGGAGGUUGGUUUUGAAAGAUGCAUGCUGGUACACUAUGAACAACUUGUAUUGCAUCCUGAAAGGUGGAUGAGAAAUCUAUUAAAGUUUCUCCACAUUCCAUGGAACCAAGCAGUGCUACACCAUGAGGAAAUGAUUGGGAAAGCAGGUGGUGUCUCUCUUUCAAAAGUUGAAAGAUCUACAGAUCAAGUAAUCAAACCAGUCAAUGUGGAAGCUUUGUCCAAAUGGGUUGGGAAAAUACCUUCAGAUGUUCUACAAGACAUGCCAGUCAUUGCACCAAUGUUAGCGAAACUUGGCUACGAUCCAUAUGCCAAUCCACCAAAUUAUGGAAAGCCAGAUCAAAAAGUUCUUGAAAACACACGACGGGUCUAUAAAGGUGAAUUUCAGCUUCCUGAUUUUCUUAAAGAAAUGCCACAGCCAAAGAAGACAGUAGAAAGGAAGUCCCGUGGCAAGAUAAAAUGAACAUGGACCAGUAAAACCGAACCAGUGGAGUAGAAUAUCUGAUGGAUUUACCUUGCACAUAAGGACUGUCCUACCAAGAUCAGUGAGGUGUACCGCUCAUGGUCUGCUUUUUUCGAAUCUUCUCCCAUUUGCCUUCAGACUGUGUUUUUUGUUUUGUUUGGGGCUUUUUGUUUGGUGGUUUGUUUUUGGUUUUUUGUGAGCACACUUAAACCUGUAACAAUAAAAGCACUUCUGAUAUGGUGAACACUUUCACUGAUGAUGAUGAUGUACUGUGUUACAUUUAUACAACUGUUUCUACAGUUUGAAAAUGAAAUUAAAGCAAAAUCUGGCCUAUGUUGAAAUUGCUAUUCUGUCUAUAUCUCUGUUUAAUUCCAGAGCUUAAUUUUAAAGGGUUUGUAAAAAUGGUUUGUGAAACAUUUGGAAUUUAAAUGUAUGAAAUUUUGUAAAAGUGGCCUGUGCUUGUCCUAAUUUGUGGGUUUUUUUGGUAGAACAGUUGUGCCUGUUUCAAUUUUAUUGACGUGGAAAUUGUCAAAUAUCUUUCUUUUAAUUAUUUAAAAAAUCACUUCUGAGAUGUUGAUAAAUUACUUGUACAUUUACAAUGCAGUGAUCUUUUGUAUUUUAUUUUUCAAAAUAAAUGCUUUAAAUGUGAUUUUUUUUGUUUUGAGUUAUUAAUGCAGCUUUUAACUUGAAGAUCACCUUGCUUCUGCAUGACGUUACUGUACCAUUUGGGUGAAUAGCUGUAAUAAUGAGAGAUACAAACUGAGGCCCUGAAAUGAGACAUUUAUGUAUGUGUUUAACUUUAAUGUGUGACCAGUAGGAGUACUCGUGUUCUUAAAGUUAAGCACAUGGAGAUUUGCAAGAUUGGGGCCUAAUAUAUUGGAAUUUUGUUUCCGCAUAUGUAAAUCCUGUUUUUCUGUGUGUAUUUCCUGCAUGAUCUAGCUUGUUUGUUGAUUUAGCGCAGGGAUGCUAAGCUAAUAAGACACUAGUAGAUAAUUUAUAAAGUAGGUUAAAUAAGUAUUUUCUUUACCAAGAUUCCUCUAAUAAACAGUAUAAAACCUGUCUUCUAUAAAACCAUUAUUCUCCACUGAUGAUAAUUCAAGAACCUCUGAAAUGUCAUUUAUACUUUCCCCCCCACCCCCCCCCCCCCACCCGGAGGAAGUCGUCUUGGUGGUUGUGUGACAGCUGAGUGGGAGGAUCUUUGUACUACAGUUACAGCUGCUUAUUAAAAAUUAUAAAUGUCUCACCAGAAUAUUUAAAGGACUCUGUCAAGGCAUUAGUCAUCAUUUUAAAAAUAUAUUUUUCUUUUAUUUAAAGUAACCCACUAUUUCUUUGCUAGAAAAUGUUUUCCCUGCAUUUCACAUGCAUUUACACCCUGGGUUGUCAAUAGAAGGCUGGGGAACACUUAGGUUGGUUUUCCUGUCCCUUUAACAUUAGCAGUUCGUCUUGGGGAAGGGGGGGAUCCAAAAACACGUCGGCUCUUGAACAUUUUGAACUUUUUGUUCAUAAAGUAUUGAAAUGUAAAUUAUACUGCUAAAAAUAAAGAGAGAUGAUUUGUCAUCAAA
Chrysemys picta bellii (western painted turtle) is the source of this 3249-nucleotide non-coding RNA. NCBI's taxonomy places the organism in Eukaryota, Metazoa, Chordata, Testudines, Emydidae. The record is from RefSeq and is a predicted model, not a curated record.